Catharus ustulatus (Swainson's thrush) is the source of this 373-nucleotide long non-coding RNA. RefSeq lists it as uncharacterized. The transcript has 3 exons. The record is from RefSeq and is a predicted model, not a curated record. Lineage: Eukaryota; Metazoa; Chordata; Aves; Passeriformes; Turdidae.
UUGGACUUGUACAGUUGACCUAGACAAUAUUUAGUAUUGAGCUCAAGUUUUCUGUGUGUAUCCCCAAAGCUCAGAUGGCUUUAAGGACACAAAGAAAUGUCUCUGGAUCAUGAGAUCUCCUCGUUUUUCCCAGCAUGGGCUAGAAUGAACAGCAUACAUCAGUGCAGAGCAACUGAGAAAUGUCAGGCAACCUGAGCUGUCAAGGAGUGAACCCAGAGCUCAACUGGUUAUUAGUCAAGAAUCCAUAAAUGGCUGCUAAGCAGGCAAAGAGUGGCAAGGAGAGUCAAGGUAAAGAGGGCUUGUUAUGAACAUCUGAUUUGUGACACUGAAACUUUGAACACAUUCACAGAAACAGGAUGACUCCAGAAUCAGC